UGUGUUAUUGGAUUGCGAUUUGAAAACUUGGCAGAAGAUAGAAGUUAGACUUUUUGGUGUCUGGACAGGACAGUUAACUGCAGAUAAUGAGCAAUCUCCUCUUUUCUUGACGUAAAGGAGAUUUCGAUCGACGAACGAAAAAUCCCGUCUAUCGCUUCUGAAGACAAUUGGGAUCAUAUUGUGAAGAAUCUGAUGAAGGAAUCAACUAUUCACGAGAAAUAACUGCAUCAGCUAUAGGAACUAUGCAAUAGAAGGAUCAUGGGACGAUGAAAUUUUUCCUGGCUAAAGCUGAGAAAAUCCAACUGACGUGUUACACUUUAUAUUCUGAUGUUUUGAAUAGAAAUGAGAAAGAUACUAAUCACUUUUUCCUGCUUCUCAAUUACGUAGUCAGGUAGAGUAUACAGCUGUAGUGCUAUACACGUAGUAGGCCCUAGUUCGAAAUUUAAGAGCGACUCGUUCAUAAUUGUCUCUUUCUCAAGACUAAGACUUUUUAAAUAACGUACAAUGGACACCAACUUUGCAAUGAAUUUAACCCAAAACCAGCAAUAUCUUAACAAGUCAAGUAUUUAGGUCAGCUACUAUAUAACUUCAGACAGUUUAGCUGGAGAAGAAUAUUGCCGCUAUUGCAGUCGAUUCACGGUCUCCUACAAACGGCGUCUAAUCUCAUUUUUUCUGUGACGAUGGCUAGUAUCUUCAACAAUCGACAGCAAUCUCAGCGCGGCAACUUGGAUCUCGUUGGUGGAUGAGAAGCCACAUGCACCGUCGUGUAGCAUUAUCCAGCUCGUUAGAGAUAUCAUGGCAUCGGUAUAUUAUUUUUAAAGAGUCAGAAAUACGGUUCAAUUUUGAGGGGGUUCCUUUUAUGGGAGCAGGGUAAUUUGUCUGAAUAUGGUCAGCUGUCACGAAAGCAGGCAUUGCAGAAGUUGUUCCUGCG
RNAcentral lists this long non-coding RNA (931 nucleotides) under Daphnia pulicaria. RNAcentral's name for it is "uncharacterized LOC124342965, transcript variant X2". Lineage: Eukaryota; Metazoa; Arthropoda; Branchiopoda; Diplostraca; Daphniidae. The record is from RNAcentral.